Molecule: long non-coding RNA, 273 nt
Organism: Lolium perenne
Lineage: Eukaryota; Viridiplantae; Streptophyta; Magnoliopsida; Poales; Poaceae
Source: RefSeq, a predicted model, not a curated record
ACAGACCACGGCUGACGCUCGGAAGAUCCUCUUUGAGGAGCUUCUCUGGGAGCACCGGGACCUCGCUGAGGCACACAGCAAGUGCCAAGCUAUCCCGAAAGCUUCUAUUGAGGCCCUCAGGAAGCAGCUUGCCGCCGCCCAAGAGGAGAAGGACCAGCUUAUCCAGCAGCAUCAGGAGGAUCUGAGCGCCCAGAGAACCAGCUACCAGGAGCUAAAGGGUCAGCUUAUCCAGCUUGGUCUUGACCAUGCCAAGGCGCUGAAUGCUGCUGAAUC